Molecule: long non-coding RNA, 256 nt
Organism: Thalassophryne amazonica
Lineage: Eukaryota; Metazoa; Chordata; Actinopteri; Batrachoidiformes; Batrachoididae
Exons: 2
Source: RefSeq, a predicted model, not a curated record
AGAGAUGAAGAAAGUAGACAGGAGUACCAGGAGACUUGAGUAGUGGCAAAAGCUAAGGAAAAGGCAUAUUGUGAGCUGUACAAGAAGUUGAACAGUAAGGAAAGAGAAAAGAACUUGUACCGACUGGACAGACAAAGGGAAAGAGCUGGAAAGGAAGUGAGCUGGUUAGGGUUGUAAAAGAUGCAGAUGGUAAUGUGCUGACAAGUGAGGAGAGUGUGUUGAGAAGGUGGAGGGAAUAUUUUGAGGAGCUGAUGAA